CCUACGGGUGGCAGCAGUGAGGAAUAUUGGUCAAUGGCCGGAAGGCUGAACCAGCCAUGCCGCGUGAAGGUCAGUGCCCUAUGGGCGUUAAACUUCUUUUGUGCGGGAGCAAUAAUGGUCACGUGUGGCCAGACGAGAGUACCGUACGAAUAAGCAUCGGGUAACUCCGUGCCAGCAGCCGCGGUAAUACGGGGGAUGCAAGCGUUAUCCGGAUUUAUUGGGUUUAAACGGUGCGUGGGCUGGGAGGUAAGUCAGCGGUGAAAUUCCCCCGCUCAACGGGGUGAAGUGCCAUUGAUACUGGCGUGCUGGAAUGCGGAUGAGGGGGGAGGAAUGUGUGGUGUAGCGGUGAAAUGCAUAGAUAUCACACAGAACACCGAUUGCGAAGGCAUCUCACGAAUCCGCGAUUGACGCUGAUGCACGAAAGCGUGGGUAUCAAACAGGAUUAGAUACCCCAGUAGUC
This 460-nucleotide ribosomal RNA is filed under the name uncultured bacterium. RNAcentral describes it as "partial 16S ribosomal RNA". It matches the Rfam family "Bacterial small subunit ribosomal RNA", at positions 338 to 795 of the family's 1533-position model. The record is from RNAcentral.